UGUGAGCAGACGUUGAACUCGCCUCCUCCCAUGAACACAACCAGGUUACAACAAUUUUAGGAAGAAUCACGCUGGAUUGAAAACUGAAAACUGGAUAAAAAGAACCCCCACAACAAGGGACAGUCCUGACGAAAGCAGAAGAGGCAGCAACUCCGGCAGGAGAGGAAAAAAGCCACCUUUGGGAGCAGCGGAGCUUCUCAGCUGGCCAGGCGGGAGCCACUCUAAGCGAGGACACCCCAGAAAAGCUAUCAGCCAAAAGCCGAAAAGAUCCGGGUCUUAAAGGGCCCACGCACAAACUCACUCAUUGCAGCAACCUAAAAUCACCAGAGAGAAGGCUGACUGUCCUUUGGUGAAACGAGACUCACCUGGUGGGCUCUGGGGGCAUCUUGGUGAGAGGAGGAUCCUCUCCAGAGACUGAGACAUUGGUGGGGGCUGUUGUUCUGAGCUGGUCCAGGCAUGCUAAUACGGACACAGGUGGGGGCCAUUGAGGUGCAUCCCUUGGGCUGUUAGCCCAGGGGUCUGCCACACCCACUACAGCACAGAUUUAAUCCAGCUCAGCCAGGGCAGGCAACCUGCCCUAGGGAUUGGCCCCACCUAACAGCAAGCCCUCAGGCUACUUUUCAGCCUGCAUUGACUGAAUGCCUUGAUCCUCUACAGGCAGGUAAAGGUGUCUGCCUCUGUGGGGCAGGGCUUGUGUGAG
This 700-nucleotide long non-coding RNA is filed under the name Equus caballus (horse). RNAcentral's name for it is "lncRNA (ENSECAG00000050993.1)". Lineage: Eukaryota; Metazoa; Chordata; Mammalia; Perissodactyla; Equidae. The record is from RNAcentral.